Molecule: long non-coding RNA, 972 nt
Organism: Manacus vitellinus (golden-collared manakin)
Lineage: Eukaryota; Metazoa; Chordata; Aves; Passeriformes; Pipridae
Exons: 2
Source: RefSeq, a predicted model, not a curated record
CUUUGCAGGAUAUGGUGCAACUGUGAGGGUACAGACGGGAUAGGGGAUCCACACAUGAAACCAAAGGGGACCCACCGGGCGGGACGUGGCUCAGGAGGAAAGUGAGAGACGUGCAGGGGAACGUGGAGCCCAGAGUUUUUCAAUCUGUGGGGCUUGGCCUUUGCAGCGCUGGGUUGCUCAAUCCCCCUUUAUCUGCACGUUGCUCUUUGCCCCACCGAGAGCCGCGGAGACGACACCUGGAGAUUGGCACCGGUGGGACAACAUGAGCGAAAUACCUUCCCUGGCCACACGGAAAAUUUUCCAGAGCAAAUUUUUAGGUCAGAGCACCCACUCUGGGGCUCUGCAAAGGAAAGAAAGGAGGUAGAGCCAGAGCACACAAAGGCCCGUGGAAGGGAACAGUGACAGAGCAGAAGACAUGGUCUCUGUCCUGCAUGGCAGAGGGAGUCCAUGCUGGAGCAGUUCUGCUGGCAAGAUGUGGGCUGUCAGUCUGAGCAGGGACAGGGAGAGGUGACUUUGUAUCUUACAAAGCAGCACAUGUCCUUGUGUUCCAAUAAAAAUGGCAGAGAGGUUGCUGUCUAGUAGCUUUCCAGAAGUUCUCCAUAGUUGUCUGACAUUUCCUAGGUAAUCACAGCCUCCUGUUUUGAUGAAUUUGGUACAGAUCGUGUAUUAAUGAUCUCUUGUGUAAGCGUUCGAAAGAUUCAUCAAGGGAAGAGGAAUGCUAUCCUUCCAAGGUAUCCUGCCAAGUGUCAGAAGCUCCCAGGAACAGAACUCGAUUAUUCCUUCAGGAAAUUUCUAAAAGAGGGAAGCUAUUCCAAGGUCCUGAGGCUGCAGGACAGAUAGCUGGAACUCCAUGGGGUGUAUGGCCAGGGGCAACACAAACCAAGGAAAUCUGAGAGGGGAGUGGGCUCAAGUGGAGAAUUAGAAGAUUUUUUUCUUUAUUAAAAGCAUUAAAGAUCUGUGUUCUAGACUGUA